Molecule: long non-coding RNA, 406 nt
Filed under: Brassica napus (rape)
Lineage: Eukaryota; Viridiplantae; Streptophyta; Magnoliopsida; Brassicales; Brassicaceae
Description: long non-coding RNA (BNAP_LNC012539)
Source: RNAcentral
UAGCAAACAAAAACCAUCUAAUGAAACCCAGACGUUCAAACAUAAUAAAAUCCCAAGAUUAACAAAACCAAACAUAAAAUUGGAAAGAAAAACAAGACGAAGAAAAUAUAUAACUGAGUCGUAAACGAAGCCGGUGCGGACAUGAAUGGUGAGGAUCUUCGAGCCAUAGAGGAGAUAAGAUGAUUCGUUUUGUUUCCUUUUUUUUCUGUUCAAACAUGAUAUAACUUAAUGACCUGAUCAAUGCUGGCACGACAUAUAGGACAUUUCUUGUUUUUGAUCUCUUUCAAGCAAGAAACGCAUCCAGCAACAUGUCCGCAUGGCACACAUGCUGCUUCCGAUGACGCAUCCUCACAAAUCACACGCACUCCAGAUCCUCCUCUACUUCCUUUACUCUCAUAGUCUGCAC